UCUCGUGUGAUACACACUUAAGGUAUAACAAUGAAAGUCUGACUAUUUUGCCUGUUUUCAAAAUUAAAUUGAGACUGUUAUCUCAACUGCACCGAUCAAUCAAUCUCCUACGUGUGUUUUCCACUCUACGUGACAUUGGCGGAAUCAACCGUGCUUCUCUGGCACAACUGAAAGCCAUUAAACCAAUCAAUCAAUCACUAUUUUGGUUUGGCUAAUAAACCGCGAUACAAUUUA
Molecule: unclassified non-coding RNA, 234 nt
Filed under: Melitaea cinxia (Glanville fritillary)
Lineage: Eukaryota; Metazoa; Arthropoda; Insecta; Lepidoptera; Nymphalidae
Description: misc RNA ENSMCXG00005020461.1
Source: RNAcentral